CUCUCGGCCAUCUUACCUAUGACUUUCAUCAACCGAUGACUAUUCUCAACAAACCACAAAGAUAUUGGUACCCUAUACUUAAUUUUCGGCGCCUGAGCCGGCAUGAUUGGUACUGCCCUAAGUCUCCUUAUCCGAGCAGAACUUGGACAACCAGGAACCCUUCUAGGAGACGACCAAAUCUAUAAUGUAAUUGUUACCGCCCAUGCUUUUGUAAUAAUCUUCUUUAUAGUAAUACCUAUUAUAAUUGGAGGAUUUGGCAACUGACUAGUCCCCCUAAUAAUUGGUGCCCCCGAUAUAGCAUUCCCACGCAUGAACAACAUAAGUUUCUGACUUCUUCCCCCAUCAUUCCUUCUCCUCCUAGCCUCAUCUACAAUUGAAGCCGGAGUAGGAACUGGAUGAACCGUAUACCCACCAUUAGCUGGCAAUCUAGCACAUGCUGGAGCUUCAGUAGACCUGGCCAUCUUCUCACUUCAUCUUGCAGGCAUUUCCUCAAUCCUAGGUGCCAUCAACUUCAUUACCACUGCAAUUAACAUGAAACCACCAGCCCUAUCACAAUAUCAAACCCCCUUGUUCGUAUGAUCUGUCCUAAUCACCGCAGUUCUUCUCCUCCUCUCUCUACCAGUUCUCGCUGCCGGUAUCACCAUACUCCUGACAGACCGCAAUCUCAACACUACAUUCUUUGACCCCGCAGGAGGUGGAGAUCCAGUUCUAUACCAACACCUCUUCUGAUUUUUUGGUCAUCCAGAAGUCUACAUUCUUAUCCUACCAGGAUUUGGUAUUAUCUCACACGUUGUAGCCUACUAUGCUGGCAAAAAAGAACCAUUCGGCUAUAUAGGAAUAGUCUGAGCCAUACUAUCCAUCGGCUUCUUAGGCUUUAUCGUAUGAGCUCAUCAUAUAUUCACAGUAGGAAUAGACGUAGAUACCCGAGCAUAUUUUACAUCUGCCACAAUAAUUAUUGCAAUUCCCACUGGCAUUAAAGUCUUUAGCUGAUUAGCUACCCUACACGGAGGUACUAUUAAAUGAGAACCACCUAUACUAUGAGCCCUAGGAUUCAUUUUCCUAUUCACUAUUGGAGGACUUACAGGCAUUGUCCUAGCUAACUCUUCCCUAGACAUCGCCCUCCAUGAUACCUAUUAUGUAGUAGCACAUUUCCAUUACGUCUUAUCUAUAGGUGCCGUAUUUGCAAUCCUAGCAGGAUUCACACACUGAUUCCCACUCUUUACAGGAUACACUCUCCACCCAACAUGAGCUAAAGCACACUUUGGUGUAAUAUUUACAGGAGUAAACCUAACCUUCUUCCCCCAACAUUUCCUAGGCCUAGCUGGCAUGCCACGACGAUACUCAGACUACCCAGACGCCUAUACUCUAUGAAACACUUUAUCUUCCAUUGGUUCACUCAUCUCUAUAAUCGCUGUAAUUAUACUUAUAUUCAUUAUCUGAGAAGCCUUUGCAUCUAAACGAAAAGUCCUACAACCCGAACUUAUUACAACCAACAUCGAAUGAAUUCAUGGCUGCCCGCCCCCAUAUCACACCUUCGAGGAACCAGCCUUUGUCCAAAUCCAAGAAAGGAAGGAAUCGAACCCUCACAAGCUGGUUUCAAGCCAACCGCAUUAAGCCACUCAUGCUUCUUUCUUAUGGGCUGUUAGUAAAACAAUUACAUAGUCUUGUCAUGACUAAAUUACAGGUGAAAUUCCAGUACACCCCACCUCCUUCCAAUGGCUAACCACUCUCAAUUCGGUUUCCAAGACGCCUCAUCCCCUAUCAUAGAAGAACUAAUUGAAUUUCAUGACCACGCUUUAAUAGUUGCCCUAGCAAUCUGUAGCUUAGUACUUUAUCUCCUAUCCCUCAUACUUAAAGAAAAACUUUCCUCAAAUACUGUUGACGCACAAGAAGUAGAACUAGUUUGAACUAUCCUCCCUGCAAUCGUUUUAAUCAUACUAGCUCUCCCCUCUCUCCAAAUUCUCUACAUAAUAGACGAAAUUGACGAGCCUGACCUCACCCUUAAAGCCAUUGGUCAUCAAUGGUACUGAACCUAUGAAUACACAGAUUUCAAAGACUUAACCUUCGAUUCAUAUAUACUCCCCACAUCAGAACUCCCACUAGGCCACUUCCGAUUACUAGAAGUCGACCACCGUAUUGUUAUUCCCAUAGAAUCUCCUAUUCGAGUCAUUGUCACCGCCGAUGAUGUUCUGCACUCCUGAGCUGUCCCUAGCCUUGGUGUAAAAACUGAUGCUAUCCCAGGACGACUCAACCAAACAUCCUUCAUUACCACUCGACCUGGAAUCUUUUAUGGCCAAUGCUCAGAAAUUUGUGGAGCCAACCACAGUUUUAUACCUAUCGUAGUCGAAUCAGCCCCUCUCACCCACUUUGAAAGCUGAUCCUCUCUUCUAUCAUCCUAAGCAUUAAGAAGCUAUGAACCAGCACUAGCCUUUUAAGCUAGAGAAAGAGGAUCUCUAACCCCUCCUUAAUGAUAUGCCUCAACUAAACCCAGCACCAUGAUUUUUUAUCCUACUAACUUCAUGAUUAACCUUCACCUUCAUUUUACAACCCAAAAUCCUACUAUUUACUCCCACAAACCCCCCUUCAAAUAAAACCCUUUCCACUAUAAAAGCCUCCCCCUGAAACUGACCAUGAACAUAAGCUUCUUCGAUCAAUUUAUAAGUCCAUCUCUUCUAGGAAUCCCACUAAUCCUCAUUUCACUCCUAUUCCCAACACUCCUAUUCCCCUCACCUGACAACCGGUGAAUCACAAACCGUAUCUCCACCCUUCAACUCUGGUUUUUUCAACUAAUUACAAAGCAACUCAUAACCCCAUUGAACAAGAAAGGACACAAAUGAGCCCUAAUUUUACUUUCCCUCAUAAUCCUCUUACUGACAAUCAACCUCCUAGGACUUCUACCAUAUACAUUCACUCCCACCACUCAACUAUCAAUAAAUCUUGCCCUAGCUUUCCCUCUAUGACUUGCUACUCUGCUUACAGGGCUACGGAACCAACCCUCAAUUGCACUAGGCCAUCUCCUACCAGAAGGUACCCCAACAGCCCUAAUUCCUGCUCUUAUUUUAAUCGAAACUACCAGCUUACUCAUCCGCCCUUUAGCCCUAGGAGUCCGCCUAACAGCCAACCUCACAGCCGGACACCUACUUAUCCAACUUAUCUCAACCGCCUCCACUGUCCUCCUACCCAUUAUACCAACAGUAUCUUUACUAACCACAAUUAUCCUCCUACUACUUACCAUUCUAGAAGUAGCAGUUGCUAUAAUCCAAGCCUAUGUUUUUGUCCUCCUAUUAAGUCUUUACCUACAAGAAAAUAUCUAACCCCAAUGACCCACCAAGCACACUCAUUCCACAUAGUUGAUCCAAGCCCUUGACCCAUUUUCGGAGCAGCAGCCGCCCUCCUCACCACCUCAGGGCUAGCUAUAUGAUUCCACCAUAACUCCACUCAACUACUAACACUAGGUUUGCUAACAAUAAUCCUUGUUAUAAUCCAAUGAUGACGUGACAUUGUACGAGAAAGUACAUUCCAAGGUCAUCAUACACCUACUGUCCAAAAAGGUCUACGCUAUGGCAUAAUCUUAUUUAUUACAUCUGAAGCCUUCUUCUUCCUAGGCUUUUUCUGAGCAUUCUUCCAUUCAAGCCUAGUUCCCACCCCAGAACUCGGAGGUCAAUGACCCCCCAUAGGGAUUAAACCCCUCAACCCUAUAGAAGUACCUCUACUGAACACAGCAAUCUUACUAGCCUCCGGUGUUACCGUCACAUGAGCACAUCACAGUAUCACAGAGGGUAAUCGAACUCAAGCCACCCAAGCCCUAUUCAUAACCAUCCUUCUAGGAUUCUACUUUACAGCACUUCAAGCAACAGAAUAUUAUGAAGCUCCUUUCUCAAUCGCUGACGGAGUUUACGGAUCAACCUUCUUCGUAGCUACAGGAUUCCAUGGACUCCACGUAAUUAUUGGCUCCUCCUUCCUAUUAAUUUGUUUCCUCCGACUUAUUAAAUUCCACUUCACACCCAACCACCACUUCGGUUUUGAAGCGGCAGCUUGAUACUGACAUUUUGUUGAUGUCAUCUGACUAUUCCUCUACAUAACUAUCUACUGAUGAGGAUCAU
Molecule: RNA transcript, 4103 nt
Organism: Myiozetetes cayanensis
Lineage: Eukaryota; Metazoa; Chordata; Aves; Passeriformes; Tyrannidae
Exons: 1
Source: RefSeq, a predicted model, not a curated record